This 370-nucleotide RNase P RNA is filed under the name endosymbiont of Galathealinum brachiosum. RNAcentral's name for it is "Bacterial RNase P class A". It matches the Rfam family "Bacterial RNase P class A". Rfam says of the family: Ribonuclease P (RNase P) is a ubiquitous endoribonuclease, found in archaea, bacteria and eukarya as well as chloroplasts and mitochondria. Its best characterised activity is the generation of mature 5'-ends of tRNAs by cleaving the 5'-leader elements of precursor-tRNAs. Cellular RNase Ps are ribonucleoproteins. Lineage: Bacteria; Pseudomonadati; Pseudomonadota; Gammaproteobacteria. The record is from Rfam by way of RNAcentral.
GAAGUUGGCUGGACAAUCGCUGUAUGAUUUUAUCGUAGAGAGGAAAGUCCGGGCUCCAAAGGGCAGGGUGCCAGGUAACGCCUGGGGGGUGUAAGAACCUACGGCUAGUGCAGCAGAAAGAUACCGCCUUAAUUUGCUAAUUUAGUAUUUUGGGGUAAGGGUGAAAUGGUGCGGUAAGAGCGCACCGCGUUUACUGGUAACAGUGGCGGCUAGGUAAACCCCACCUGGAGCAAGACCAAAUAGAGAAGCUGAGGCGUGGCCCGCGCUGCUUCUGGGUAGGUUGCUUGAGGCGCAUAGCGAUGUGCGUCCUAGAUGAAUGAUUGUCACAACUUCGGUUGUACAGAACCCGGCUUAUAGGCCAGCUUCCCUA